Acipenser ruthenus (sterlet) is the source of this 1640-nucleotide long non-coding RNA. RefSeq lists it as uncharacterized. The transcript is spliced from 2 exons. Lineage: Eukaryota; Metazoa; Chordata; Actinopteri; Acipenseriformes; Acipenseridae. The record is from RefSeq and is a predicted model, not a curated record.
AGGAACGGAAAGGCGUUUGUGUAUUUACACCAAAAUUCUGAUCCCUGGUUAGUUGUAUAGCGUUUCGUAUAUCUAUUGUGAUGGGAGAUUCAACAGCCUGCAUUUUUUAUUGGCGUUUUGGUUCUUCUUGGCGCCUUAUGAUCACGUCAUCACUCGGCUUCCUUCAGUCUGCUUUUCUUUUGGCUGAGAGGAGGUAAGCACAGCUUCGUGCUGGUAAUAAAAUACUUAAUUAAAAUUAUUAAGACUGUCUAAUUAUCAAUAGAAUAUGGCGUGACAUAUAUAGUACUACUUGAAAAACACUACAGCAGUUGUUUUAUUCUUCUAAACCUUUGAUAAAGUUGUUAUUUAAUUUAUUUUGAACAACGUGGCUUUUGCUUGCCAGAUAAUGAUACAGCCUUCCACGUGUGAUACACAUUGUUCACUGUAUUCCUUUUUCUAAUAGGGAAUAGAGGACCAGAAACACGUGGAAGCUGAUGUUUUUCUGUUCUGUUUUAAUUAUAUUUUGCAGGUAUGUUGAACUCCGUUGUUAUGAAUAGAAGCGAAAGCUAGUUUAAACUGCUAGUUAUUGUAUUUUAAUUUUAUUAUCGCAGUAAUACUCGUUAGAAUGGCUGAUUCAUGAGUCAUAUUACGCGUAUGUUUUGUUCCACAUUGUUAUGGUAACUAUUUUGUGUAUUUUUGAUUACUGACGAUCUGAAAAAUGUAGAAGAAACGGUAGAUCGUAUCUUGAAAUAUAUACAGUAUAGGUUUAAGCUGUAACAUAGGAAAAAAACGUGUUUUGUGUAAAGUUUCAGUCUGCUUUUCUUUUGGCUGAGAGGAGGGAAUAGAGGACCAGAAACACGUGGAAGCUGAUGUUUUUCUGUUCUGUUUUAAUUAUAUUUUGCAGUUCUGAACAAGAUUAAAGAACUUAUUAUCAGCAUUGCACUGCCUUAGUGUCCUUCACUGAACAACACACCAUAGCUGGCCUGACAGGCAGGGAAAUCUUUUGCACACAACAACACAACGCAGAGAAAUACACGAGUGGUAGCCAGCGCAGGACAGAAUUGUGAAAUGAGGAGCGCCCCGGCUACAUUGGUGCCGUGACUCGGAUUCAUCAGCAGUGGAUCGACACCAGUUCGGUCGCCGAAGGUUGCUGCAUCCUACUUCUGGUCAGAGUUAGAGAUGGUCAGGGAAUAGAGGACCAGAAACACGUGGAAGCUGAUGUUUUUCUGUUCUGUUUUAAUUAUAUUUUGCAGGUAUGUUGAACUCCGUUGUUAUGAAUAGAAGCGAAAGCUAGUUUAAACUGCUAGUUAUUGUAUUUUAAUUUUAUUAUCGCAGUAAUACUCGUUAGAAUGGCUGAUUCAUGAGUCAUAUUACGCGUAUGUUUUGUUCCACAUUGUUAUGGUAACUAUUUUGUGUAUUUUUGAUUACUGACGAUCUGAAAAAUGUAGAAGAAACGGUAGAUCGUAUCUUGAAAUAUAUACAGUAUAGGUUUAAGCUGUAACAUAGGAAAAAAACGUGUUUUGUGUAAAGUUUCAGUCUGCUUUUCUUUUGGCUGAGAGGAGGGAAUAGAGGACCAGAAACACGUGGAAGCUGAUGUUUUUCUGUUCUGUUUUAAUUAUAUUUUGCAGUUCUGAACAAGAUUAAAGAACUUAUUAUCAGCA